GGGGUGGGUGGCGGGUGUCCAGUGAUUCAGCCACAUGUGAUAGAUGACCAAGUGACUGCUUCCUUGGGGUCCGCACAUCAGUGGAAGACACCCACACUGGUUGUGGCUGACUUGAUCAAACUCUGGCUCCCUGAACUGGAAUGAAAUGCAGUUAACGCUUUAGAAAACUUUCGCAGGAAAAAGCGCCUCGUGUGAUCUGGAACAAAGACAUUUUAUAAUCAGAUUUAUCAAGCUGUGAAGAGGGAGUUUUAGCGAAUGGAAUCAGCAGCAUUCUGUCACCAGGAAAUACUGCUUUAUCCAGAAUUGGGAUCUGAGUGAAGAAUAUAGGAGAAAGUGACCUCUGAGCUCUUUGAGAUUCUACAAAAUAUAUGAUUUCUCAUCAACCCUGGAAACAGGAAUCGCACAUAAUUGAAAUUCAAUAGGACAAAAGAAGAAAGUGCUAUUUAAAAUGAGAGACCUUUUAAAGAGUGAAAGAUGCCAGCUGAAAUGGAGUGUCUGUGACAAAAAUCUUCAGUCAAUACGUUUUUCAAAUUCUUUCAGUUGUUGACUCUCAAAUAUUUAUGCUAAUGACAACCAGGAAAAGCACAGAUUUUGGAAACGUACCAAACCCAAGACUACUUCUAGCCAACUAAUUCUUUUCACCAAACUUUCUGCAAGAACAUCUAAUAAGAAGAGGCUCGGAUACCACUGACCCCCUGCAAUUCUCCCUUGAGGAGUCAAGCGUGGUUUUUUUCUAAGGUUCAGACCACUAGUGGGAGGUCCCAAGUAUGGUGAUCUGAGGGUAGAGGAGAAAGGGAGGAAGAUGAAGAUGGGAAGAAAAAAAAAAAAAAGCAAAGGAUCUGAAAAUUAAAGAAAACCUAUACUUAAUUGUUGAUGUAGAGCUUGGAUUUAGAAAUUUAGACAAGAUCAGCUAAGGUUAUUUCCAAUUAAUUACUUAAGUAA
Long non-coding RNA from Zalophus californianus (California sea lion), 942 nucleotides. RefSeq lists it as uncharacterized. NCBI's taxonomy places the organism in Eukaryota, Metazoa, Chordata, Mammalia, Carnivora, Otariidae. The record is from RefSeq and is a predicted model, not a curated record. The transcript has 4 exons.